AGCCAUGCAUGUCUAAGUAUAAGCAAAAAUACAGCAAAACUGCAAAUGGCUCAUUAAAACAGUUAUGGUUUACUUGAUAAUAGUUUUUACAUGGAUAACCGUGGUAAUUCUACAGCUAAUACAUGAGCAAAAUCUCAACUUUAUUAGAAGAGACGCAUUUAUUAGAUAAAAAGCCAAUGCAUGCUUUUACAGUAUGGAAAUUGGUGAUUUAUAAUAACUUGGCAAAUCGCAAAGUGAAAACAGGCGAUAAAUCAUUCAAGUUUCUGACCUAUCAGCUUUCGACGGUAUGGUAUUGGCUUACCGUGGCAGUGACGGUUAACGGGGGAUUAGGGUUCGAUUCCGGAGAGGGAGCCUGAGAAACGGCUACCACAUCUAAGGAAGGCAGCAGGCGCGCAAAUUACCCAAUUCUAACAGUUUGAGAGAGGUAGUAACAAGAAAUAACAAUACAAGGCAAUUAAAAUGUUUUGUAAUUGGAAUGAUAGAAAUUUAAACCCUUUUUAAAGUAUCAAUUGGAGGGCAAGUCUGGUGCCAGCAGCCGCGGUAAUUCCAGCUCCAAUAGCGUAUAUUAAAAUUGUUGCAGUUAAAAAGCUCGUAGUUGAAGUUCUGCUAAAAGUAACCGGUCUGCUUUUAAUAAAAGUGGUAUCUUGGUGUGUAUUUAGCAAUGAUGUCCUUUGAAGUGUUUUUUACUUUAUUGUAAUAAAGCAUAUUCAGGACUUUUACUUUGAGAAAAUUAGAGUGUUUCUAGCAGGCCGACGCUUUGAAUACUGCAGCAUGGAAUAAUAAGAUAGGAUUUUAGUUCUACAUUAUUGGUUUUAAGAGCUAAAUUAAUGAUUGAUAGGGACAGUUGGGGGCAUUUGUAUUUAACUGUCAGAGGUGAAAUUCUUAGAUUUGUUAAAGACAAACUACUGCGAAAGCAUUUGCCAAAGAUGUUUUCAUUAAUCAAGAACGAAAGUUAGGGGAUCGAAGACGAUCAGAUACCGUCGUAGUCUUAACUAUAAACUAUGCCGACUAGAGAUUGGAGGUCGUCUUUAUAAACGACUCCUUCAGCACCUUACGAGAAAUCAAAGUCUUUGGGUUCUGGGGGGGAGUAUGGUCGCAAGGCUGAAACUUAAAGGAAUUGACGGAAGGGCCCCCCCAGGCGUGGAACCUGCGGCUUAAUUUGACUCAACCCGGGAAAA
Molecule: ribosomal RNA, 1178 nt
Filed under: uncultured Hepatozoon
Lineage: Eukaryota; Apicomplexa; Hepatozoidae
Description: SSU rRNA
Rfam family: Eukaryotic small subunit ribosomal RNA
Source: RNAcentral